Long non-coding RNA from Populus nigra (black poplar), 634 nucleotides. RefSeq lists it as uncharacterized. The record is from RefSeq and is a predicted model, not a curated record. Lineage: Eukaryota; Viridiplantae; Streptophyta; Magnoliopsida; Malpighiales; Salicaceae. The transcript has 2 exons.
CAGCCGUACUAAUAACUUGACAUUGAAACACCUCUGUGGAGGUUCGUGAUUAACAUGGUUAGUCAUCCCCGUAUACUUUGCUCCCCUUCCAUAGAUUGUCUUUCAUAUAUCUUCAGCGCCUAGACCUCUUGUUCAACACGCACUUGAAGAAGGACAGGAUUCUUCAUAUAUCUCAAAGAGAGCAGCCCCUUUUGCUGUCUGAGGCUUCACAUCAAAGGAAUGGCAGUUUCUUCUCGUGAAAACUCAGUUGAGAGGAGGACGGAAAUGGUGUUCUAUCAGUAUUGAAUUGAUCGACGUUGAUCAAUUUUAACGUUGAUCAGUUCUCCUUUGGUUUGUAAAAGAUGAAUCUCAAUGGAGGGGUUCCUAUUGCCGAGAAGUUCUUUUCAGAGAAACUUUCUGGCAAGAAUAAUGAAGACAUGGCCUUGGUUCUAUUCCCCAACGGUAUCGAAGGAGGCAUGGAAUUUCUUGUUGAUAAAGAAGCCAUGUCUCGGAGGUAAAAUGUCAACGAUCUUAUAUAAUUAAAAGCUUUCUGAAGCCCUUAACAUGGAAUUUCUCCAACGGAAAAAACAGCUUGGCCCCAGAAAGAUUCACGGCUGUAAAUGGCUUAUACAAAAUAAGGGAAUGGGUUGAAGAU